This 160-nucleotide unclassified non-coding RNA is filed under the name soil metagenome. Its description in RNAcentral is "partial internal transcribed spacer 1". The record is from RNAcentral.
ACGAGUUUUAAUUGUUAGGUUAGAGUUGAGCUGGUUAAUCUAAUUAAUAUGUGCUUACUCUAAUCGAAACAAGUCCACUCAUUACUUGAACACUUGUGAACUUAUUCAUUACAAACAUUAUUAUUUGUUAUUGGAACGUUUGAUUAUUAAAAAGUUAAUA